AUUAAUUUGAUGUUAAUUAAAACUCAGAGUAGUAACAGAUAAUCUCCAAACUCAAAAAAUUUGGCGGCACCUUUCCCUAUUAGAGGAACCUGUCCCUUAAAUGAUGGUCCACGUUUUAACGUACCACUGUUUAUAGUUUGUAUACCGCCGUUAUUGGGAAUGUUUUAAAAUAUUUUCAUAAUUAUGUUAAUCAAAACUUCAGGUCAAGGUGCAGCUUAUACGGUGGUGGAGGUGGGUUACAUUAAUUAUAAUUAAACGGAUAAUUAAUUUUUAAAUUGAUUUGAAGGUGGAUUUAAUUGUAAUUUUAUUAUUUAAUAUAAUGAUUAG
RNAcentral lists this ribosomal RNA (327 nucleotides) under Afroptilum sp. BMNH 704109. RNAcentral's name for it is "partial 12S ribosomal RNA". Lineage: Eukaryota; Metazoa; Arthropoda; Insecta; Ephemeroptera; Baetidae. The record is from RNAcentral.